CACCUGACUCUACCUCCUGAGGGCUGGGAUAAAAGUGUGCAGUGUACAUUCCGGCACUAUGAAAGCUAAGCAGUUGGGGAUGAAGCUCCCAGGAUUGCUAAUGGCAAGGCAUAACAAAGCCUAUUCAGCACUGUGCAUACCAGCACUGUAAGCAGAUUUGGUUAGACAAAAUGUGGAGGUAGCGAGUCACUCGGUGUGCACAGAACCCCAUGGACACCCUUUGAGGAUGCUGGAAGACUGACUGAGGAGAAGAGCAUCAUUUCUAUGAUCUCUCCACAACCCAGUGGGGCAGGGUAUCAGAUGUCCUCUUGCACAAGGGCCUCCUAGGCCCCACCCAUACACCCCAGAAGUUUGCCUCAAGGUUCCCUUGAUCCACAAAAGCUGGAAAAGGAACAAAAGUCAGAUAAGGAGAGUCUGGCCUCUGCCUGGCAGAGACUUAAAAGACUCCCAGCUCAAAGGGCAAGUGGUGCCCUUUGCCUUAGGAGCUGUCUGUGCCUCAGUUUCCACACCCUCUCUCAGUGCCCCUGCCCUGCCUGAAGAACUGCAGCAUUCCCCACCUCUAUUCUGCUCGAGCUGCAUGUGUGGCAGGCACCUGGAAGCAGAACCAGCCUCCUGUCUCUCUAAUGAGUUAAAGCUAAGCAUGGUCUGGAAGAGUGGCCAGGGCCAGCUGGAUCUGCCAGCUCAGGAAGCCUGGCUCUCCCAGGCCCUUAUCUGGAUUUGUGUUCUUUUCCAGCCCUCUGCUCAUGCUGCCCACAGGGUUUUUCAGGCUCCUCAAACCAUAUGGAUUUUCCAGUUCAUGUGGCCUGUGUUUCACACCACAUCUAUCUAUAACCCUCUUUGAGGGGGCUGAAGGAAAACAAGCAAAUUCCUCAUCAGUGAACCAGGCAGCAGGUUUACUAAGCACAUAAUUUGCUAGUAUUUGCUUUGUUCAAAAUGUGUGGCUAGUUAAUACAUCCAUAUGGAAAAAGUUAUAAAUGUACAAAAGCAUAUUAAGUGAAACAUUCUUCUCCCACCCAUGUCCCCAACUACUACAGCCUUGUCCUGGAGACAAAUGCUAUUACCAGGUUUUCAUGUAUUUUUUUUUCUGUGCAUAUAUCAGGGCAUACACAGUUGGUUUCACUUGAAAUUCAUUCUUUGGGGAGGAAGAAGGGGGAGAAGAGAUAAGUUAUAACCACUGAAGUAUACAAGGCCAAAGCCAUUUAUGAGAAAGGCUACAUUUCUGGGCUUGGGUGUGAAGCUUAGACACACUGGUACCAGAAAGAGAUUAACAGAAAUAGGACAAAAGAAGGAAGAGACGAGAAGAGGAAAGAAGGAAGGAUAGAUUUUCUUGCUAUUCUUGCAGUUAACUUUGCCCUUGAGUUUUGACCAGUAGGCUGAGAGCAAAAGUGAAAUAUACAAUUUCCAAGUUGGGUCUUGAGGGGAAAAGGUAUAUUCUGGUGAACUAUGGGGAUCUUUCAGACAGAAGACAUAAACUUAGGAUGGUGUAGUAACAGUACAAAAAAAAAAAAAAUCUACUCCCUGACCUUCUCAGCCUGAAUUGCUUAUGUGCAGAUUUUUACACAUGAGAGAAAUAAAUAACAUUCUUGUUUCACCCUACCUAACAAUAUAUAGGUAGAUGGAGACAAAUUGCAUCGAAUUCUGUAUACUUCAGCUUUUAAUAUACCAACUGGCCUUGUCAACAUGGUUUGUAUUACAAAUACCUUAUAGGCCUGAUGUGGUUGGAUCCCAUUUAUGCCUAUAGUUCCAGCUAUUUAGAAAGAGGGAGAAGGCGGAUUACCUGUGUCCAAGAGUUCAUGGUCAACUUGAGAAACAUAGCAAGAUCUUGUCUCAAAACCAAGCCCCAAAUAUACUGAUAUAUUAUAUAUGAUAUACUCACUAAGCACACUAAACACUUUUUGCCUUCGCUGAGCAUGGUGGCAUAUGCCUUCAAUCGCAGCACUUAGGAGGUAGAGGUAGGCAGAUCUCUGUGAGUUUGAG
Molecule: long non-coding RNA, 1977 nt
Organism: Mus musculus (house mouse)
Lineage: Eukaryota; Metazoa; Chordata; Mammalia; Rodentia; Muridae
Product: predicted gene, 31839
Exons: 4
Source: RefSeq, a predicted model, not a curated record